CCGCUUUGCUGAAUUAGUGAUCGGCGAAGCUUCAUUUAAGGAGAAUGAUAUGUCACUAACUAAAGAAGAAACCGCAAAAAUCAUUGCUGAGUAUGGCGUUAAAGAA
This is a non-coding RNA of Alteromonas sp. Nap_26, 106 nucleotides long. The record is from Rfam. NCBI's taxonomy places the organism in Bacteria, Pseudomonadati, Pseudomonadota, Gammaproteobacteria, Alteromonadales, Alteromonadaceae.